UACGGACGCGGGGUGGAGCAGCUUGGUAGCUCGUCGGGCUCAUAACCCGAAGGUCGUCGGUUCAAAUCCGGCCCCCG
Molecule: transfer RNA, 77 nt
Filed under: Vibrio cholerae O395
Lineage: Bacteria; Pseudomonadati; Pseudomonadota; Gammaproteobacteria; Vibrionales; Vibrionaceae
Description: tRNA-Met
Rfam family: tRNA
About the family: Transfer RNA (tRNA) molecules are approximately 80 nucleotides in length. Their secondary structure includes four short double-helical elements and three loops (D, anti-codon, and T loops).
Source: RNAcentral